GGCCGAAGUGAGAGGGUCCCUUGACUUAGAGAGAUCAGCCUGGACAACAUAGCGAGACCCCGUCUCUAUCAAAAAUACCCACGAAGCCGGGCGUAGUGGCGGUCGCCUGUGGUCCCAGCUACUGGGGAGGCUGAGGUGACUGGAACGGAUUUGAUGUAACCCUCACGUGCAUGGAGAAGCUGAGAACAGUAAUCUGCGGAAGCAAAACAGUGAGACAGCCGGGCAAAGACACACAGAGGCUGGAAUGCAAUGGCGUGAUCUCGGCUCACUGCAACCUCUGCCUCCCUGUCAAAGGAAUUCACCUGCCUCAGGCUCCUGAGUAGCUGGGACUACAGGUGUGGUCACCUCUCUUCUACUUUCUGCCUCUAUGAUCUUGCCUGUUCUAGGCAAUUCAUGUAAGUGAAAUCACACAAUAUUUGUUCUUUUGUGUCUUGCUUAUUUCAUGUGGCAUAAUGUUUUCAAGAUUUCUCCAUGUUGUCGCAUGUAUGGGAACUUCUUUUUGUUUGUUUUCUUUUGAGACGGAGUCUGCUCUGUCACCCAGGCUGGAGUGCAGUGGCAUGACCUCAGCUUACUGCAACCUCUGCCUCCUGGGUUCAAGCGAUUCUCCUGCCUCAGCCUCCUGAGUAGCUGGGACUACAGGUGCAUGCCACCAUGUCGGGCCAAUUUUUGUAUUUUUAGUAAAGACAGGGUUUCACCAUGUUGGCCCAAAUGGUCUCAAUCUCUUGACCUCGUGAUCCACCCACCUUAGCCUCCCAAAGUGCUGGGAUUACAGUCAUGAGCCACUGUACCCAGCCCAAGAUGGUUUUUAAGCAUGAUUUCUGGAUUUCAGGAAAUGCCACUAACAUUUCUUGAUGUCUCCAAAUGAUAAAAUUUAUUAUCUCUGGGCGUGGUGGCUCACGCCUGUAAUCACAGCACUUUGGGAGUCCAAGGCAGGUGGAUCGCCUGAGGUCAGGGGUUCGAGACCAGCCUGGCCAACAUGGUGACACCUUGUCUCUACAAAAAAUACAAAAAUUAGUCAGGCAUGGUGGCAGGUGCCUGUAAUUCCAGCUACUUGGGAGGCUGAGGCAGGAGAAUCUCUUGAACCUGGGAGGUGGCAGUUUCAGUAAGCUGAGAUUGCACCACUGCACUCCAGUCUUGGCAACAAGAGUGAGACUUCAUCUCAAUAAAAAAAAGUUUGUUAUUAUCUAUAACAUAUUCCAAGGAGGAAUGAGGCAGUUCUUCUUCGUCUGCUUAAAUGUGCACUUAAAGAUUUUUAAUAAAUACUCUCUCUUCAGGAAAAAAAAGAUCUAGUUAACAGCUCAGAUUCUCCUUAAGAAAGAAAUGUCGUACAUGCUGUGUUCUGCCUUGAACAUCUGUCCAUGUCAUUAACUGUCUUUCUGUGGCAUCAUUUAAAAUAGCUGCAAACUCUUCUGUUAUAUGAAUGUGCCAUAAUUUACUUAACCGACUUAAAGGAAUUUUUAAAAAUUCAUUUAGCCAGGCUGGGGUGGUGGCUCACACCUGUAAUCCCAGAGCUUUGAGAGCCCAGGUGGGAGGACUGCUUGAGGCCAGGAGUGCAAGACCAGCUUGGGCAAGAUGCGGACACCCUAUCUUUACAAAAAAAAAAAGAAAAAGAAAUACAUUUUAAUGAGUCUUCCUUUUCUUUCCAUCACCACCACCAAUUCAGUGGUACAGGAGGGAGCUUGUUGAGACACUCCUAUAUAAUCCCAGCAGACUCCUAAAUGAUGUCACUAUCCCAGGCUUCCCCUCCCAUCCCAUGUCCUCAUGUCUGAGGGAUGUUAAGUCAUUGCUUCCUUGUGUCCUCUUUCAGCCCCAAGAAUGGCUCUAUCUUAACUUUGCACCUGGCUCAAACAUCUCGGCCUUUUUUUCUUUUUGAAGGUUUUCCCAAAUCAGUGCCAUUUAAUCUCCCUCCGCUAUCGUAGUCAUUUCUUUCUGGGCCUGGCUUGUGCCGCUGGUCCUGUUGGGAAUGCCUCCUCUCAUCCCACUGUUUCCCGCCCCCUCCUCCAAUGAGGGUCUGCUUAUAUCUCACGAGCUUCAUAACCCUCCCAAGGCUGUGCUUGCGUGUGUGAACUUCAUCUUUCUCUGAGCUUCUGUUUCAGUGAAACGGGACCACACGGUUUAGGAGGCAGUAAGAAAACAAGCAAGUCUGUGCUCUCGGAGCAUGGUUGCACUGGCCAUCCGACAGUUCCUGGAACACGCUCAUUUCUUUGCUUUUCUUUCUUUCUUUUUUUUCUUUUUGAGAUAGAAUAUUACUAUGUUAUCCAGGCUGGCCUCAAACUCCUGGCUUAAGGGAUGAUCUCGCGUUGCUGGCAUCACAGGUGUGUGCCCCCCAUCCAGCUCUGGGACACUCUUAUUUCUCUCUCACUUCUCAGCUUUGUGUUUGCUGUCGCUCUUCCUGGAAUGCCCAUCUUUCAACUCAUUCCAGCAGGUUCUUUCUCGAUAUUCAGAUCUAGCGUAAAUGCCACUUCCUUGGAGAAACCCUCCCUGCUCCCUAUCAGAAGUAAUUCCCUUGCUCCUAUCACAGGAUCCUGCUUGUUUCUUUCAAAAUCUAUUCCAAGCUGUCCUCAACCCAUUUCUUUUCACUGUGAUUACCUGUCUCUCACACUGCACCUAACCUCCCAAAGAGCCUGUCAUCUUCACCUGUUCAUCCCCAGCUCCUGCACAGUGCCGGGGUGCCCAGUAAGUGCAACCUCAUAAUGAAGGGAUAAGGUUGGACAGAUGGGGAAGGAGAAGGGAGACAUCAAGGUGUCCUUUGAACUUUGGCUUGGGAAGUUGAGCUCAUGGCAGGUGGUGCUACUGGCUGAACUUAGAGCUCUGGAAGUCACAUGUGGGUGGAUGGGGUGAACAGAGAUCAUGAUUUGUCUUUUGUAUCAGUUUGAGUUGCCGCUAAACCAUUUAAGUAUAGAAUAUCUGGAGGUGGUUAGAUAUAUGGGCCUGGAGCUCAAGAGCGAUGCUUGGGCACCAUCCAAAUCAUAAGAAUAGCUACCAUAGCUAGACUCAUGAGAAGCUGCCUGAAGCCAUGUUCUUACGCUGAAGUCUGUUCUUACGCUGCUAAUAAAGACAUACCCAAGACUGGGUAAUUUAUAAAGGAAAGAGGUUUAGUUGACUCACAGUUACACAGGGCUGGGGAGGCCUCACAAUCCUGGCAAAGGCAAGGAGCAGCAAAGCCACAUCUUACGUGGUGGCAGGCAAAAAGAGAAUGAGAGCCAAAUGAAAGGAGAAACCCCUUAUAAAACUCUCAGAUCUCAUGAGACUUAUUCACUACAACGAGAACAGUAUGAGGGAAGCCACCCCAUGAUUCAGUUGUCUCCCACUGGGUCCCUCCCACAACACAUGGGAAUUAUAGGAGUACAAUUCAAGAUGAGAUUUGGGUGGGGACACAACCAAACUGUAUCGGGCCACUUGGCCAAUAAGUGACCAAGCCAGGAUUUAAACUCAGGUGGUCUGUUUCCAGUGCCCACACACCAUUGCGAUGAGAUAGGUGUGGAAGGGACAAAAACCAAGAUGAGUUCCUUGCCUCUGAGGGGCUUAUUGUUUUUUGGGAGAAAUAAAACAUAAAUACUCAUAACUUACCAGACUGAACAAGCUUACACAAGAGCCCUGUUAGUGUGAGUUGGCCCUUAUCCAAGCUUAGGUGCGAUGCUUAUUUGGUUAAAAUGGUGAGUCAGUGUCAGCCGCCUCCUCCGAUUCCCGAAGCCUCAGGAUCACGUGACUAUCAUAAUUCAUUAAAGUUAGCUAAGGAUGUUGGAAAUGCAAACUCCUCUCCAUAGAUCAUCAUUUAUUUUGGAACUAUGAUUCAUAGCCCUCGGGAAUGAAAAACAGGAAGCUGAAAGGUCACAGUUAAAGUGAAAGAAAAUGGGAAUUUCUAAUUUUUUCAAAAAAGAAAAGUUGAGUCAGGGGAUCUUCCUGAAUGAUGACUGCAUGGGAUUAGAAUAUGGGUUGAGAAACGUACAAACAUCGGAGGGUGAAACCCAACCUGGUACAUCCAAGUAGAUAAUUUGAAUAAAUGGGGGUGGUGGUCAUGGUUCCUUAUUGCCUCUAGUAGGCAGGGCUUUGUGUGACCAUGACUUUGGGCAGAAACCAAACCAAGAUUAAUUUUUUAGGGCUGCUGGUUGGCCUGGAAUUAGAGAUUUAUUUUAUUGAUUGAUUGAUUGAUUGAGAUGGAGUUUCACUCUUGUUGCCCAGGCUGGAGUGCAGUGGUGUGAUCUUGGCUCACUGCAAACUCUGCCUCCCAGGUUCAAGUGAUUCUCCUGCCUCAGCCUCCCAAGUAGCUGGGAUUACAGGCGCUGGCCACCAUGCUCAGCUAAUUUUUUGUAUUUUUAGGAGAAACAGGGUUUUACCAUGUUGUCCAGGCUGGUCUCAAACUCCUGACCUCAGAUAAUCCACCUGCCUCAGCUUCCCAAAGUACUGGGAUUGCAGGCGUGAGCCACUGCCCUGGCCCAAUUAGGGAUGUUUUAAUAACCUCCUCUUUACCUCAGUGGCGAGGGAGGGAUUCCCACUUCCCACCCCAGGGUUCUGGGGAUGGCUAAACAUGUGACACCCAACACUGGGCAGAUGAGAUUGGCAGCAAUUUUUGGUCACACACACUCACAGCUCAGGGAGGAAGACCCCCACAUGCUGUGCAGGGCCACACAGAAACAGAGUGAACGACCAGGGCCGGUGGGGGGCACGCUCUGUAGCAACAAGAGGGUGAGGAGGACCUGGUUUCCCUGGAGGAUGUGAUUGGCUCAUUUGGACAGUUCCAUGGGUUAGCAGGAACUGCUAUCUGUUUUAUUGGGUCUGUUUGACAGGGAAGGUUGUUGCACUGGGCACCCUUAGCCAAGGGAGGACUGGGAGAGAAACUUGGGGUUAGGCUAUUCUAGGCACUCCUGAUUUCACCUGAUGUCAAGGCAGCACCUCAUAUGAGACCUUGAUUUUAGGCCUUACACCGCAGGGUGGAUACCCAGUGGGCCCUGCUGGCUGCCCCUCGUCUCCUGAUUUGCUGCACUCCUUCCUGUGAUCUGAAGCUCUACAAGCAGUCUCAUCCCUGCCAACUUGGGGCAGGGGCUAUUCCAAAAUUCAAGGCACACUGAAGCUUUUCCUCCUUUUCUCUUGCUGCCAAUUUUUUCCACCUUUUUUUGGUGACUUCCCAAGAGGAAGAGGAGGGAAGAAAAGAGAAACAUUCUAUUUGGCCGCUUAUGUGGGACAAAUGUUUCAUGGAGUAGGGAAAGACUGAAACAAAAACAAAGAGCAUAUCCACCACCGCUCCUAGCUCAUUUUCCACACAGUGAUCGCAGUGAGUGUUUACAAAUGAAUAUGGUGGUUGGGCGCAGUGGCUCAUGCCUGUAAUCCCAACACUUUGGCAGAUCACUUGAGGUCCGGAGUUUGAGACUAUCCUGGUCAACAUGGUGAAACCCUGUCUCUACUAAAAAUACAAAAAUUAGCUGGGUGUGGUGGCGCGUGCCUGUAAUCCCAGAUACUCAGGAGGCUGAGGCAGGAGAAUCACUUGAACCCAGGAGGCAGAGGUUGUAGUCAGCCAAGAUCAAGCCACGCUGUACUCCAGCCUAGGCAACAGAGGAAGACUCUAUCUCAAAACAAAUAAAAAAAACAAAAAAAUCAAAAUCAGAAUUAAAUAUGAUCUCACCAGGCUCCUGUUUAGAACCUUUAUGUGGCUUAGGUCUUAGGAUAAAGACAAACUCUACUGUGACCCACAAGAUUCCAGGAAGCCUAGCCCCUGCCUGCUUCCAACCAUGACUCAUGCCUUACUUCCCUGUACUGUUUAUGGCACAUACAGGUCUCUAAGUUCUGUAAACCUGCUAUGCUUUUCCUGCCCCAGGACCUUUGCACAUAUUGUUCUCUCUGCUGAGAGUGCUCCUUCCUUCCCCAUUCACUAUUUAAGUAGUGCUCAUCCUUCAAAUUUUAGCUAAAACAUUCCUUCCUCAGGUAGGCUGACCCCAGUAGGCUAAAUUCCCCUGCUAUAAGCUCUCAUGGCCUCAUUUGCCUCUUCACCAUGAUACUCAGCACCAGUUGCCAGAUUCCAUUUGCUUGAAUUAUUUUUCAUCUCUUCAUAUUUUCAUGAGACCAGCAACCUUAUUUAUCCUCGAUCUCUGGAGAGUGUCUCAAUGAACAGUUGUUGAACAAAUGUGUCCAUGAACGAGUUAACUGUGAUUUGGGGACCUUCUGAAAGGAAAGGAAAGAAAGAAGACUUAAAUAAAUUUUACAUCAUUUUUUUAAUUAUCAAAACAGUGACAUUAAGGACACUUACAUCACCAGGCUAAAAUCAGGAAGGGUUUAAAAAGUAAUUCCCCAUUCGAAUGAGGAAUGAAAGUUCAUUACCGAUAUUAUAUGAAAUCAGCCAAGAGAAAGCAGAUCCCUUCUUUUCUGACACAGAGAUGAAGCCAUGAAUCCUGGCAGUUACCAUAGCAGAAGACAGCUUUUAAGUAUAAGAAAACACAUCCUACAAAAUGUGACUCCCAUCGCCUGUGGAGAUGACAUUAUUUUCUACAAUAAACUAAAACUAAGAAUACAACGAUGACGCCUGUUAUUGUGGGACGUGUGUGACAUGUUACACAGUUGAAGCGACACGUCACUCUCUCGCCCAGAGCAUCAGUGGGGAAGGUGAGGAAAAGCAGAUGGAUCCAGUGAUGAUUUGUCAUUUCACAUUUUGACUCCAUCUGCGGCCUCAUUAAGGUGACAGAAAUGUACUAGGAAUAAGGCACCAAAUACGAAGGUACAAAGGCCCAGAGGCCAUCAGAAUGGAAACCUGUAACAGUGACAUAGAAUUCCUGGAGUAAAGAAGUGUCAACUCCAAAGAAAUCAUAUAUAAUAAUGCACUUUAAAAAAUAUCUUUGAAAAGGUAGUGAAAAAUCAAAGUUCAAUCUGGCAUAAUUAACUUGGUUCCUGAGUUUAAAGCCAGAUAAAACCCUGUAUCAAAAACGUUUUUAUUCAUGCUGUUCUACACGAAUAGCCUAGAAAGCUGCUGGUUUUUAAAAGGUAUCAAAAUGGUAACUCUUAGAAUAUGUAUAAAAAAUUCACAGAUCCUUUAUCAGUCGCAAUAUUUAACAGUGGUCUCCAAACUGUUUGAUUAAAUGGUCGUUGUUUAGAAACAGUUAAAUAGCCAACUCUGGUGACAAAACCAGGGAAAGGAAACCCUAAAGCAGGAUCCUAACACCUGUCACUAUGCAUUUUCCUAUUCUUAGCAGUCGAUGAUGGAGAUGGGAAAGGUGUGGUUGUGGGUUGUUUUUGAAGUAGCUAGCAUCCAGACUGCGUCAAUUCUGAAUGGCUGCAAAGUACAGGGUGUUAAUGGUAUCAAGGCAGCUUUUUAGUCACUUUCAGUCAUAGCAUU
This is a long non-coding RNA of Callithrix jacchus (white-tufted-ear marmoset), 7321 nucleotides long. RefSeq lists it as uncharacterized. NCBI's taxonomy places the organism in Eukaryota, Metazoa, Chordata, Mammalia, Primates, Cebidae. The record is from RefSeq and is a predicted model, not a curated record.